RNAcentral lists this ribosomal RNA (977 nucleotides) under uncultured marine bacterium. RNAcentral describes it as "bacterial SSU rRNA". It matches the Rfam family "Bacterial small subunit ribosomal RNA", at positions 77 to 1041 of the family's 1533-position model. The record is from RNAcentral.
ACUUCGGUGUGAGUAAAGCGGCGGACGGGUGAGUAACGCGUAGGAAUCUACCUAGUAGUGGGGGACAACUCGGGGAAACUCGAGCUAAUACCGCAUACGCCCUACGGGGGAAAGCGGGGGACCUUCGGGCCUCGUGCUAUUAGAUGAGCCUGCGUUGGAUUAGCUAGUUGGUGGGGUAAAGGCCUACCAAGGCGACGAUCCAUAGCUGGUCUGAGAGGAUGAUCAGCCACACCGGGACUGAGACACGGCCCGGACUCCUACGGGAGGCAGCAGUGGGGAAUAUUGCGCAAUGGGCGAAAGCCUGACGCAGCCAUGCCGCGUGUGUGAAGAAGGCCUUCGGGUUGUAAAGCACUUUCAAUUGGGAGGAAAGGUUCACGGUUAAUAACCGUGAGCUGUGACGUUACCUUUAGAAGAAGCACCGGCUAACUCCGUGCCAGCAGCCGCGGUAAUACGGAGGGUGCGAGCGUUAAUCGGAAUUACUGGGCGUAAAGCGCGCGUAGGUGGUCUGUUAAGUCGGAUGUGAAAGCCCCGGGCUCAACCUGGGAACUGCAUCCGAUACUGGCAAACUAGAGUGCGGGAGAGGGAGGUAGAAUUCCAUGUGUAGCGGUGAAAUGCGUAGAUAUGUGGAGGAAUACCAGUGGCGAAGGCGGCCUCCUGGCUCGACACUGACACUGAGGCGCGAAAGCGUGGGGAGCAAACAGGAUUAGAUACCCUGGUAGUCCACGCCGUAAACGAUGUCUACUAGCUGUAGGGGUACUUGAGACCUUUGUAGCGCAGCUAACGCAAUAAGUAGACCGCCUGGGGGAGUACGGCCGCAAGGUUAAAACUCAAAUGAAUUGACGGGGGGCCCGCACAAGCAGUGGAACCAUGGUGGUUUAAUUCGAUGCAACGCGAAAGAACCUUACCAGGCCUUGACAUCCUCGGAACUUUCUAGAAGUUAGAUUGGGUGCCUUCGGGGAACCGAAGUGACAGGGUGC